RNAcentral lists this ribosomal RNA (433 nucleotides) under uncultured bacterium. RNAcentral describes it as "partial 16S ribosomal RNA". It matches the Rfam family "Bacterial small subunit ribosomal RNA", at positions 29 to 507 of the family's 1533-position model. The record is from RNAcentral.
AACGAACGCUGGCGGCAUGCCUAACACAUGCAAGUCGAACGAGACCUUCGGGUCUAGUGGCGCACGGGUGCGUAACGCGUGGGAACCUGCCCUUAGGUUCGGAAUAACUCCCCGAAAGGGGUGCUAAUACCGGAUAAUGUCUUCGGACCAAAGAUUUAUCGCCUUUGGAUGGGCCCGCGUUGUAUUAGCUUGUUGGUAGGGUAAAAGCCUAUCAAGGCGACGAUCCAUAGCUGGUCUGAGAGGAUGAUCAGCCACACUGGGACUGAGACACGGCCCAGACUCCUACGGGAGGCAGCAGUGGGGAAUAUUGGAAAAUGGGCGAAAGCCUGAUCCAGCAAUGCCGCGUGAGUGAUGAAGGCCUUAGGGUUGUAAAGCUCUUUUACCCGGGAUGAUAAUGACAGUACCGGGAGAAUAAGCUCCGGCUAACUCCGUG